This 43-nucleotide ribosomal RNA is filed under the name Steinernema abbasi. Its description in RNAcentral is "partial 5.8S ribosomal RNA". The record is from RNAcentral. Lineage: Eukaryota; Metazoa; Nematoda; Chromadorea; Rhabditida; Steinernematidae.
AAGUCUUACCGGUGGAUCACUUUGGUUCGAAUCAUGAAAACGG